UACGGAGGGUGCAAGCGUUAUCCGGAUUUACUGGGUUUAAAGGGUGCGUAGGCGGGUAGGAAAGUCAGUGGUGAAAUCUUCGGGCUUAACCCGGAAACUGCCAUUGAUACUAUUUAUCUUGAAUACUUUGGAGGUAAGCGGAAUAUGUCAUGUAGCGGUGAAAUGCUUAGAUAUGACAUAGAACACCAAUUGCGAAGGCAGCUUACUACACAGUUAUUGACACUGAGGCACGAAAGCGUGGGGAUCAAACAGG
This 253-nucleotide ribosomal RNA is filed under the name uncultured bacterium. Its description in RNAcentral is "partial 16S ribosomal RNA". It matches the Rfam family "Bacterial small subunit ribosomal RNA", at positions 524 to 776 of the family's 1533-position model. The record is from RNAcentral.